This 713-nucleotide ribosomal RNA is filed under the name uncultured organism. RNAcentral's name for it is "bacterial SSU rRNA". It matches the Rfam family "Bacterial small subunit ribosomal RNA", at positions 158 to 886 of the family's 1533-position model. The record is from RNAcentral.
GGGGGAUAAUACCGGAUGUGGAUGUCGAUAUGCAUGUAUUGACAUCUAAAGCAUUUAUGCGCUUUGGGAUGGGCUUGCGGCCUAUCAGCUAGUUGGUGAGGUAACGGCUCACCAAGGCGACGACGGGUAGCUGGUCUGAGAGGAUGGUCAGCCGGACUGGGACUGAGACACGGCCCAGAGGGGUACUGGGGGCAGCAAUUAGGAAUCUUGCGCAAUGGGCGAAAGCCUGACGCAGCGACGUCGCGUGAACGAUGAAGUCUUUCGGGAUGUAAAGUUCUUUUCUGAGGGAAGAAGGAUGUGACGGUACCUCAGGAAUAAGCCCCGGCUAACUACGUGCCAGCAGCCGCGGUAAUACGUAGGGGGCGAGCGUUGUCCGAAUUUACUGGGCGUAAAGCGCGCGUAGGCGGACUCUUAAGUUGGUGGUGAAAUGCCGAGGCUCAACCUCGGAACUGCCUUCAAAACUGGGAGUCUAGAGGCUUGGAGAGGGAAGUGGAAUUCCUGGUGUAGCGGUGAAAUGCGUAGAUAUCAGGAGGAACACCGAUGGCGAAGGCAGCUUCCUGGCCAUGUCCUGACGCUGAGGUGCGAAAGCUAGGGUAGCGAACGGGAUUAGAUACCCCGGUAGUCCUAGCCGUAAACGAUGGAUACUAGGUGUAAGAGGUAUCGACCCCUCUAGUGCGGAAGCAACGCGUUAAGUUCCCGCUGGGGAGUAGGGC